UCCGCCCGCCGCUGCGUCCCGGAGUGCAAGUGAGCUUCUCGGCUGCCCCGUGGGCCGGGGUGCGGAGCCGACAUGCGCCCGCUGCUCGGCCUCCUUCUGGUCUUCGCCGGCUGCACCUUCGCCUUGUACUUGCUGUCGACGCGACUGCCCCGCGGGCGGAGACUGGGCUCCACCGAGGAGGCUGGAGGCAGGUCGCUGUGGUUCCCCUCCGACCUGGCAGAGCUGCGGGAGCUCUCUGAGGUCCUUCGAGAGUACCGGAAGGAGCACCAGGCCUACGUGUUCCUGCUCUUCUGCGGCGCCUACCUCUACAAACAGGGCUUUGCCAUCCCCGGCUCCAGCUUCCUGAAUGUUUUAGCUGGUGCCUUGUUUGGGCCAUGGCUGGGGCUUCUGCUGUGCUGUGUGUUGACCUCGGUGGGUGCCACAUGCUGCUACCUGCUCUCCAGUAUUUUUGGCAAACAGUUGGUGGUGUCCUACUUUCCUGAUAAAGUGGCCCUGCUGCAGAGAAAGGUGGAGGAGAACAGAAACAGCUUGUUUUUUUUCUUAUUGUUUUUGAGACUUUUCCCCAUGACACCAAACUGGUUCUUGAACCUCUCGGCCCCAAUUCUGAACAUUCCCAUCGUGCAGUUCUUCUUCUCAGUUCUUAUCGGUUUGAUCCCAUAUAAUUUCAUCUGUGUGCAGACAGGCUCCAUCCUGUCAACCCUAACUUCUCUGGAUGCUCUUUUCUCCUGGGACACUGUCUUUAAGCUGUUGGCCAUUGCCAUGGUGGCAUUAAUUCCUGGAACCCUCAUUAAAAAAUUUAGUCAGAAACAUCUGCAAUUGAAUGAAACAAGCACUGCUAAUCAUAUACACAGUAGAAAAGACACAUGAUCUGGACUUUCUGUUUGCCACGUCCCUGGACUCAGUUGCUUAUCUGUGUAAUGGAUGUGGCCCUCUAAAGCCCCUCACUGUUUUUGAUUGCCUUCUAUAGGUGAUGUGGACACUGUGCAUCAAUGUGCAGUGUCUUGUCAGAAAGGACACUCUGCUCUUGAAGGUGUAUUACAUCAGGUUUUCAAACCAGCCCUGGUGUAGCAGACACUGCAACGGAUGCCUCCUAGAAAAUGCUGUUUGUGGCCGGGUGCGGUGGCUCACGCCUGUAAUCCCAGCACUUUGGGAGGCCGAGGCGGGUGGUUCACGAGGUCAGGAGUUCAAGACCAGCCUGGCCAAGAUGGUGAAAUCCUGUCUCUAAUAAAAAUACAAAAAUUAGCCAGGCGUGGUGGCAGGCACCUGUAAUCCCAGCUACUCGGGAGGCUGAGGCAGGAGAAUUGCUUGAACCAAGGUGGCAGAGGUUGCAGUAAGCCAAGAUCACACCACUGCACUCCAGCCUGGGUGAUAGAGUGAGACACUGUCUCGACAAAAAAAAAAAGAAAGAAAAAAAGAAAAUGCUGUUUGUAUUUUGUGGUCUAAUAAGGAGCUCGGGAUAGCCUGUUGUAUUUGCCUCAUGCCAGCCCCUGAGCUGCCUUGGGAGAAGAUGCUGAUUGUCCUUGUCCAGAGUACUGCUUUUGCAGAGUGACAGGCUGCUGGGACAGACGUCCUCCUGUUGCAUCUUUGUGGAUGUUUAGUACCGAUGAUGACACGGGAACCCACAUCACUGACACUGCUCUUCAUCUUCUGUUAGUCUCUUGAAGAGCAUUUCUUUUGUACUUCUUUGCUGAUGACCUACCUCUUCAUAAGCCAAGUGAAACAAGUUGACGAACUGCCUAGGACUUCCACGUGUUGCUCACAUACAUGAUGAUUUCUGUCACGCUCUUGUGUUCAGACACGCUGACGUUACCAUGUAUGUCAAACCUCCUUAUGAUCGCAUGUCCUGGCAGUUAAGCUGAUUGCAAACAGACUAUUAAAUAUGAAUGGAGCAAACGCUGUAUGUCAUGGAUAUGUUCUGGAGAAAUUCUUACCCAGCUGGAUGGGGCAGGGCCCUUGACUCACCUGAAUCAUGACCAGCUGCAGUACAGAAUUGUUACAGACCUGGAUUAAUGCUUCCAAAGACAGAAGGACCUUGGCACCUAAACUGACCAGCCCUGUGAUCCUGCACCCCACAGGAGUAACUCAUCAGGACUUACCAGACUGCUGCUUUUGGGCAUCAUCUGCUGGGUUGAUGAUUUGGUUUGGCCAAGAGUCUUGCCAAGACUUUAAUCUAUGCCUCUUGUUCUACAUGAAUUCUUGGGAAUUACUCACGUUCCAUAGGAAGAGUGCAUCCCCAGAGAGGGAGCCGGCAUCAGAAAACAACACUGGGAGCUGGGGACUGACAGUACAGGAGACCAGAGGGGAGCCAGGAAGUGGUCAGCAGGCAGAAAGGAAAUGAGCUACAAGGAAAUGGCACUUGAGUAUGAAAGAUCAACACGUUGGGUCAAGGUAGCACAUUUGCCAAGAGGAAGCACACGCCCUUGAAGACGUUGGGUGCAAGUAUCUGGUCACCAGACUUUUCUAGGUCAUUUCCGUAAGCCACCGGGACAAGCUGGUUGAAGUGAAUAUGGUCUGUUCACAAGUCGCCUGGAAUUGCUUUUCUUUUGCUGUUCUUUGUGUUCUAAAAUGUUCAAUGUCUUGCUCUGGCUCUUCUUUAGUCACUUAUGGCCAAAAGACCUGGUCCCCUGUUCAAGCAGCAAUAAUACCUCCCGGCCCCACAAAUUCCCAAGGAUGUUGCUCUUAAAUUCCACUUAUUUCUUUUUUUCUGUUCUUUCAUCUCUUUUUUUUUUUUUUUGCAAGAAGUUAUUGUCUCUAUCUCAUAUAUAGUUCACUCUUUGCAGUACAAAGUGUUAAAAUGUCAAACAAAAAUAAAUAUCGAUGUUACAGUAGCUAGAAUAUUCAAUAAAAUAGAUCCCUGCCAUUCUUGAUUGAAAUGUUCA
Molecule: RNA transcript, 2879 nt
Organism: Gorilla gorilla gorilla (western lowland gorilla)
Lineage: Eukaryota; Metazoa; Chordata; Mammalia; Primates; Hominidae
Gene: TMEM41A
Gene name: transmembrane protein 41A
Exons: 9
Source: RefSeq, a predicted model, not a curated record